Long non-coding RNA from Aphis gossypii (cotton aphid), 429 nucleotides. RefSeq lists it as uncharacterized. Lineage: Eukaryota; Metazoa; Arthropoda; Insecta; Hemiptera; Aphididae. The transcript is spliced from 3 exons. The record is from RefSeq and is a predicted model, not a curated record.
GUUGAGCGAGAUAAGAUGGCUAUCCAGGUACUCCUGAAGUGGGACGAUUGCAUCGGUCGUUGGCAGCGUAUCAGGUGACCACGCCAAGUGGAAAAUACACUUUUUCAGAGGCGCUUGCAUCUAUCGGGCGUGAUAAAAAUUAUUGGUCUUACAAUGGAUGUCUCUUUUUAAAUCAAUAAAAAGUACAGAAUGAAAUUGUUCUAAAUUAAGUUUUCCAUCAAUCGAUCGAUAACAAUGCGUGGUUUGUUCUGAGAUGGAUGGAAAUUUUUCACUAAAUUUUUUGUGGCAUAGUUUCACUCACUCUGACUGCUAUCUUGCUGACUAUAAGCAUUGAGUACGUGUCGUACUGGUUGAACACGGGAUCGAGUAGAGAGGUGACGUCGGCCCGACACUGAUCCGCGGUGGCCUCGCCUGUUGCCUCUACCGCGG